This is a long non-coding RNA of Neofelis nebulosa (Clouded leopard), 971 nucleotides long. RefSeq lists it as uncharacterized. The transcript is spliced from 3 exons. The record is from RefSeq and is a predicted model, not a curated record. NCBI's taxonomy places the organism in Eukaryota, Metazoa, Chordata, Mammalia, Carnivora, Felidae.
AAGUGUGACCUACUUUUAAAAAACCAUUAGCACUCACGGGAAAACCGGAUCCCAAAUUUCGAUAACCAUUUUUCUUUGAAAUACUAUUCUAUUGCAUCACUGCUCAAAAGCUUGAAAGGUCAAUGGCCACUUUCAGUUGAAGCAGGGGCUAAGGGGAAGUUGGGCGAGGAAGGGGGAGGAGGCGUGGGGGAGGCCGGCUCACAAACCUUGCCUGGUGUCCCCCCUGCUGGCCCUAGGAGGAAGCGUAAACCAGCUUCCUGCCUUCCCGGACAGGCAGGAGUCAGGCAGGAAUGAUUCUCUCAAUAAUUUUCCUGCUUUUGACACAUGCUGUUCCCUCUUCCUGGGAUGCCCUUCGCCAGAAUGGGUGUGUGGCCAGCUCUCAUCAUUCAGCUCCCAGCUCAAAGUCACCUCCACAGACAGUCAUUGUUCACGAAAAUCACACGGGGCAGGUGCAUGGCUGCGACGCUGAACUGUCAUUCUACUUGACGGGGGAAGGGAGAAGUUUCUUCUGUGGCCUGCAUUGAGGAAUUGCCAAGGCCUGAAAAUCUCUCUGUGCCAAAGUCAAACUGGAUGCUCUUGAUUUGCGAUGCAGAUGUUCUGAUACUGGAGUUGACAAGUGCUCCACACCAAGUUGUUGUUGCUGUUGUUGUUGUUGUUGUUGUUGUUGUUGUUGUUUUGCCUAUUUGCAGACAGAGUGUCUUCAUUUUUGUUUUAGGGGUAGGGGAGCGAUAGGAUGAUCCAUCAUUGGCUUUUGUGUCUGGCGUGCCUAGGAGCAGAAGGUACUUUUAAUUGGCCACCAUCCCUUCCUUUCAAACUUUGCCAUCUCACUGCCACCACUGUCACCAUUACCACCACCACCACCAUCACAUACACUCCACUUUCACAAACCCCUGUGAUUCUGGAACCCACCUCUCUGGACAGCACGUGACCCAGGUUAGUUAACAGAAAUGUCUCAGUUCCCCGGACACAGA